CUAUAGCUCAGUUGGUAGAGCAGCUGUCUUGUAAACAGCAGGUCGCGGGUUCGAAUCCUGUUGGG
RNAcentral lists this transfer RNA (65 nucleotides) under pig gut metagenome. It matches the Rfam family "tRNA", at positions 5 to 66 of the family's 71-position model. Rfam says of the family: Transfer RNA (tRNA) molecules are approximately 80 nucleotides in length. Their secondary structure includes four short double-helical elements and three loops (D, anti-codon, and T loops). The record is from RNAcentral.